GACGAACGCUGGCGGCGUGCUUAACACAUGCAAGUCGAGCGGUAAGGCCCUUUCGGGGGUACGACGAGCGGCGAACGGGUGAGUAACACGUGGGUGACCUGCCCUCAGCUCUGGGAUAAGCCUGGGAAACUGGGUCUAAUACUGGAUAUGACUCCACGGUGCAUGUCGUGGGGUGGAAAGCCUUGUGCGGCUGAGGAUGGGCCCGCGGCCUAUCAGCUUGUUGGUGGGGGG
RNAcentral lists this ribosomal RNA (231 nucleotides) under uncultured bacterium. Its description in RNAcentral is "partial 16S ribosomal RNA". It matches the Rfam family "Bacterial small subunit ribosomal RNA", at positions 28 to 259 of the family's 1533-position model. The record is from RNAcentral.